UACGUAGGGUGCGAGCGUUGUCCGGAAUUAUUGGGCGUAAAGGGCUCGUAGGCGGUUUGUCGCGUCGGGAGUGAAAUCCACUGGCUUAACUGGUGGCUUGCUUUCGAUACGGGCAGACUGGAGGUAUGCAGGGGAGAACGGAAUUCCUGGUGUAGCGGUGAAAUGCGCAGAUAUCAGGAGGAACACCGGUGGCGAAGGCGGUUCUCUGGGCAGUAACUGACGCUGAGACGCGAAAGCGUGGGGAGCGAACAGG
RNAcentral lists this ribosomal RNA (253 nucleotides) under uncultured bacterium. RNAcentral's name for it is "partial 16S ribosomal RNA". It matches the Rfam family "Bacterial small subunit ribosomal RNA", at positions 524 to 776 of the family's 1533-position model. The record is from RNAcentral.